CUCAUUUAUGUACUUCCUGGUUCGCCUAAUGGCUGUAACCCUGACUGUUAAUUGAAACAUUUGAAAGAGUCAUGACCAAGUGAAGUCCUCUCAGUGACUGGCAAUGGCAAUAGCCAUGGCUGCUUCCCUUCAAGAUCUCACCUGUAUCACUCCCCCUCUUUCUUCUUCUUCACGGAGAAUUUCACUGCAAAGCACCAGACUCUUCUGCAAAACUCCUCUGAAACACGAGUGUCGUUUCGCUCUCCAAAAUAUUGAACUGGAGACUGCAGAGCCCUCUGAAAUACGAGGCGUGGAUGAUGGGUUAUUAGAGAAGACGAAGAACAAGAAGGAAAGGAAGCGGAAGCCGAGUUUUUUUGAUGAAACAAAAGAGAGAUGGUCUGUUAGGAUUGCCUCCCAAAGACCCAAGCUUCCAUGGGAAGAAGAAAAGGAACAAAACCCAGUUUCGACUUACAAUUUCUCUGCUCUUUCCCUCGGAGAAGAAGAAGAAGAGGUUGGUUUUUUUCCUAAAAAACCGACUGAAUUUCAGCGCCCAUCUCAGCGUUUUCCUGUUAGAAGCCGCCCAUUUGCUGCUCCUUGGGCGAAUGGGCAUUCUUCGCGUUCCGCAUCUCACGGGAAAACCCCUUUCAAUUAUUCAGCUGGUUUUGGAGGCAAGAAAAAUAAAGAACCUUCAAAUACUGAAAUCCCAAAGAAUACGGUAGGGGAAGUUCUCGAAAAACUGAAGAAGAUGGAGUUUGAUAAUGAAGUCGUCAAUGCUUUCUCCUCUAUCAAUGAAGUCAUCGAAGGCAAGACGCAGAGUCCUGAUUCUAAGUUUAACAAUGUAGUCAUCAGGGGCAAGGAGAUUAGUGGUUAUGUGGACAAUGAAUUGGGAAAAAGAGAUAAAAGCUAUAGCCCUCAUUCCAGGGUGAAAGAGAGCCUCAAACAUGGUGAAUUUGGAUCAAGAGGUAAGAGCCAUAGCCUUCAAUCUGGGGUGAAACAGAGUUUGAAAAAUGGUGAAUUGCUGCAAAGAGGUAAGAGUCAUAGCCUUCAUUUUGGGCGGAAACAGAGUGUGAAAAUUGGUGAAUUGGCGCAAAGAGGUAAGAGUCAUAGCCUUCAUUUUGGGGGGAAACAGAGUGUGAAAAAUGGUGAAUUGGCGCAAAGAGGUAAGAGUCAUACCCUUCAUUUUGGGGGGAAACAGAGUGUGAAAAAUGGUGAAUUUGAGCAAAGAGAUAAGAAAGAAGGUGUCAGAACUGGUGAAUCGAAUUUCACAGAUAAGAGUUAUAGCCUUCCAUUUGGGGUUCAAGAUACUGAUAACAAUGGUGAAUUUGGUCUCACAAAUAAGAGCCAUAGCCUUCCAUCUGGGGUGAAAGAUAGUGACAAAACUGAUGAUUCUGGUCUCAGAGUUAAGAGUUACCGCCUUCCAUUUCAGUUUAAAGAGGGUGGUGAUCCCAUUGAGUUUCCGUGGGUGGCGAGGGCUGAAGAGAGGGGGAAUGUGGAGCAGAGAAGAAGCAGAAGCACCACUGCAUUGGCGGAAUCAACCAUUCCUGAGCCUGAGCUCCUCAGGCUUAGAAGCCUGGCUCUACAUAUGAAAGAGAGGAUCAACAUUGGAGUUGCUGGGGUUACGCAGGCAAUUGUCGCUGCAAUACAUGAUAAAUGGAGACAUGUUGAGGUCGUAAAGAUCAAGUUUGAAGGUCCUCCAGCUAUGAAUAUGAAGAGGACCCAUGAAAUAUUGGAGAGGAAAACAGGUGGUCUGGUGAUUUUGAGGUGUGGCAGUUUUGUUGUCCUAUAUAGAGGAAUGGGCUAUGAACUUCCUUGUGUGCAAUCAUAUAGGCAGCACUUGCAUAUUAUUCAUGAUACUCUUCCACAUGAUAUGAUUCCGGCUACCGAUAAUAUUGGUGACACAAAAGUAAAUGCUUUAGUUAGAGCUACAGUAUCAUCUGGCACUAGUUCUCCCACCAAUUAUGACAAGUGUGAAUCCCCUCAUGAAACUGAUAUUGAAAUAAUACUUGAGAGUCUGGGUCCACGGUUUAGGGAUUGGUCAGGAUGCGCUCCAUUGCCUGUUGAUGCUGAUCUGCUACCCCCUGUGUUGCCUGGCUAUAAACCUCCAUUCAGAUUUCUUCCUCAUGGGAUGAGGCAUUGUCUAAAAAACAAGGACAUGACAGCUUUGCGCAGACUUGCAAGGCAAAUGCCUCCUCAUUUUGCCCUAGGAAGAAAUAGGGUACUCCAGGGCUUGGCUGCGGCCAUGGUGAAUCUUUGGGAAACAAGUGUCAUUGCUAAAAUUGCUAUCAAACGUGGCGUACAGAAUACAUGUAAUGAGCGAAUGGCAGAAGAACUUGAGAAAUUAACAGGGGGCAUUCUAGUAUCCAGAAACAAGGAGUACAUAGUUUUUUACAGGGGUAAUGAUUUCUUGUCACCUUCUGUAAAAGAGGUAUUGGUCAACAGGGAGAAAUUGGCAAAAUCCCUACUAGAUGAGGAAGAAAAAGCACGGAUGAAAGCUCAUGCUUCAACUCUUUCAAACACGUCUACUGCUAGAGGACCUCUAGUUGCUGGUACUCUGGAGGAAACUUUAGAGGCUAAGUCUCGAUGGGGUAUGCAACCAAGUACCCAUGAAAGGGAUGAGAUGAAAAGAGAUAUGACCCUGUCUAGGCAUGCCGCUCUUAUCAAACAUCUCGAGAAGAAGCUUGCUCUAGCCAAGAGAAAGGUAUCAAAAGCAGAAAGAGCUUUGUUGAAAGUGCAAGAGGAUCUGAAGCCUGCUGAGCUACCAACAGAUCUAGAAAUAAUAACUGAUGAAGAGAGAAUCACUUUCCGAAAAAUGGGCUUAAGCAUGAAGCCAUACUUGCUUUUGGGUAGGAGAGGUGUUUUUGAUGGAACAGUGGAGAACAUGCACUUGCACUGGAAGUACAGAGAGCUUAUAAAGAUACUGGUGAAGGGCAAGCGUUUCCUGCAGGUCAAACACAUCGCGAUAUCACUUGAGGCUGAAAGUGGAGGUGUAUUGAUAUCUGUGGACAAGACAACCAAAGGUUAUGCAAUUAUUCUUUAUCGAGGAAAGAAUUACCAACGCCCUUCUAUGGUGAGGCCUGGAAAUCUACUAACCAAGCGCAAGGCCUUAGCGCGUUCGGUCGAGCUUCAGAGGCGUGAGGCUCUUAACCAUCACAUAUUAGAUCUUCAGAUGCAAAUAGAGAAGCUACGAUCAGAAUUUGAUCAAAUGAGAACUGUUUGGGAGAAGGAAGGCCAGGAAGACUCAUAUGUAACGUCAGAAGAUGAAAUUUUAUCUGAAGAUGAUGAAGAUUCAGAGGAUGAGGUUUAGGAGCCUAUCUUGAGACUUUGUGAGCAGCUAUGAAGAUGACACUAGAUAUACUCCAUAAAUAUGAGGCCAUCGAUGAUUUUUUGAUACAGCAAAGGAAAGAGUUGAGGCUCAUUUACUGAGUGACAUUUGGGAAGGUUAUUCCUAAUACGACUUUGACCCAGAAGAGGGGAGGAUCACUAUCAUGCACAUCACGAUGGAGCCCAAAAAUCCCUAAGAUGAUUUAGGUAUGUUGCAAUGCAUUGACCAUAGACUGCGUGUUCCAAUUGAUAAUGAGGUUUUCUGGCCUAAAGAGUUGGAUACCUUAUAAUCUGAGCAAUGCUAAUCGUUAGAGGAGUUCGUCUUCAUGAAGGAGGCAAAUAUGUUCAUAGAUCUCAGUGGCAACUUCACAAGAACAAGUCGUUCUCUGUUCAGAUGUUCUAUGGUUAUCCAUGGCACUGUCUAACUGACUAAACGGCUUACACUUUGUUUAACUCAAUUAUGUUUGUUAGGGUGGGGAGCCUCAACUCCACUGCUUGCAUUUAUCCUAUUGAGGAAGUGCGUUUUUCAAUCGGGGUUGCAAUUCACAAAAUUUGCAUGAGAUUGGAAUUUUGCUGCAGAAGAAUGUCAGUGGUUUGUAUGAGACGGCAAUCUUACUUUUAGAAAUAAGAUUUAUUCUACACUGUCCAUUUUCGGAAGAUGGUGUGGAUUUGAUGCAUCUUUUAAAACAAUAUCAAAAUAUGACACAUCUAUUAAGCCUAUCAAAUCUACAUUGUGUACA
RNA transcript from Amborella trichopoda, 4040 nucleotides. It is a transcript of the gene named CRM-domain containing factor CFM3, chloroplastic/mitochondrial, with no coding region annotated. NCBI's taxonomy places the organism in Eukaryota, Viridiplantae, Streptophyta, Magnoliopsida, Amborellales, Amborellaceae. The record is from RefSeq and is a predicted model, not a curated record.